CUUACGGGUGACAGCAGUGAGGAAUAUUGGUCAAUGGGCUUACGCCUGAACCAGCCAAGUCGCGUGAGGGAAGACUGCCCUAUGGGUUGUAAACCUCUUUUGUCAGGGAGCAAUUGGCGCUACGUGUAGCGUUAUCGAGAGUACCUGAAGAAAAAGCAUCGGCUAACUCCGUGCCAGCAGCCGCGGUAAUACGGAGGAUGCGAGCGUUAUCCGGAUUUAUUGGGUUUAAAGGGUGCGUAGGCGGAAUGCCAAGUCAGCGGUAAAAUCGCGGGGCUCAACCUCGCUCCGCCGUUGAAACUGUAGUUCUUGAGUGAUGGAGAGGCAGGCGGAAUUCCGUGUGUAGCGGUGAAAUGCGUAGAUAUACGGAGGAACACCAGUGGCGAAGGCGGCCUGCUGGACAUUAACUGACGCUGAGGCGCGAAAGCGUGGGGAGCAAACAGGAUUAGAUACCCCAGUAGUC
Molecule: ribosomal RNA, 460 nt
Filed under: uncultured bacterium
Lineage: Bacteria
Description: partial 16S ribosomal RNA
Rfam family: Bacterial small subunit ribosomal RNA
Source: RNAcentral